This 815-nucleotide ribosomal RNA is filed under the name Salmonella enterica. Its description in RNAcentral is "partial 23S ribosomal RNA". It matches the Rfam family "Bacterial large subunit ribosomal RNA", at positions 687 to 1503 of the family's 2925-position model. Lineage: Bacteria; Pseudomonadati; Pseudomonadota; Gammaproteobacteria; Enterobacterales; Enterobacteriaceae. RNAcentral also lists the same sequence under 1 other name. The record is from RNAcentral.
ACCGGGCGUUAAGUUGCAGGGUAUAGACCCGAAACCCGGUGAUCUAGCCAUGGGCAGGUUGAAGGUUGGGUAACACUAACUGGAGGACCGAACCGACUAAUGUUGAAAAAUUAGCGGAUGACCUGUGGCUGGGGGUGAAAGGCCAAUCAAACCGGGAGAUAGCUGGUUCUCCCCGAAAGCUAUUUAGGUAGCGCCUCGUGAAUUCAUCUCCGGGGGUAGAGCACUGUUUCGGCUAGGGGGCCAUCCCGGCUUACCAACCCGAUGCAAACUGCGAAUACCGGAGAAUGUUAUCACGGGAGACACACGGCGGGUGCUAACGUCCGUCGUGAAGAGGGAAACAACCCAGACCGCCAGCUAAGGUCCCAAAGUCAUGGUUAAGUGGGAAACGAUGUGGGAAGGCCCAGACAGCCAGGAUGUUGGCUUAGAAGCAGCCAUCAUUUAAAGAAAGCGUAAUAGCUCACUGGUCGAGUCGGCCUGCGCGGAAGAUGUAACGGGGCUAAACCAUGCACCGAAGCUGCGGCAGCGACGCUGAUGCGUUGUUGGGUAGGGGAGCGUUCUGUAAGCCUGCGAAGGUGGCCUGUGAGGGUUGCUGGAGGUAUCAGAAGUGCGAAUGCUGACAUAAGUAACGAUAAAGCGGGUGAAAAGCCCGCUCGCCGGAAGACCAAGGGUUCCUGUCCAACGUUAAUCGGGGCAGGGUGAGUCGACCCCUAAGGCGAGGCCGAAAGGCGUAGUCGAUGGGAAACGGGUUAAUAUUCCCGUACUUGGUGUUACUGCGAAGGGGGGACGGAGAAGGCUAUGUUGGCCGGGCGACGGUU